CCCCGGACUGAUAACUGGAUGGUGUGAUCGGGCGGCCUCGUGCUGCGAUUAUCAGUCCCAUACUGUCUUUUAAGUGUCCGGGAUAAUAAAGAAUUGAAAAUGCUUCUUACACGGCGCUGAAUUUACCGUUUUCUUCGCCGUUUACUUUUUCACGACAAAU
Molecule: small nucleolar RNA, 160 nt
Filed under: Eremothecium gossypii ATCC 10895
Lineage: Eukaryota; Fungi; Ascomycota; Saccharomycetes; Saccharomycetales; Saccharomycetaceae
Source: RNAcentral